AUUGCUCAUGAUGAAAUACUACCGCCCCAGUCUGAUAUUUAUGACUGAUAGGUUUUUCUGAAAUUUU
This is a small nucleolar RNA of Styela clava, 67 nucleotides long. Lineage: Eukaryota; Metazoa; Chordata; Ascidiacea; Stolidobranchia; Styelidae. The record is from RefSeq and is a predicted model, not a curated record.